UACGUAGGGCGCAAGCGUUAUCCGGAAUUAUUGGGCGUAAAGAGCUCGUAGGCGGCUUGUCGCGUCGUCCGUGAAAACCCACAGCUCAACUGUGGGCUUGCGGUCGAUACGGGCAGGCUAGAGUUCGGUAGGGGAGACUGGAAUUCCUGGUGUAGCGGUGAAAUGCGCAGAUAUCAGGAGGAACACCGGUGGCGAAGGCGGGUCUCUGGGCCGAUACUGAUGCUGAGGAGCGAAAGCGUGGGGAGCGAACAGG
Molecule: ribosomal RNA, 253 nt
Filed under: uncultured bacterium
Lineage: Bacteria
Description: partial 16S ribosomal RNA
Rfam family: Bacterial small subunit ribosomal RNA
Source: RNAcentral